UACGUAGGGUGCGAGCGUUAAUCGGAAUUACUGGGCGUAAAGCGCGCGUAGGCGGCCCGAUAAGUCCGCUGUGAAAGUCAACGGCUCAACUGUUGGAUGCCGGUGGAUACUGUCGGGCUAGAGUACGGAAGAGGCAAGUGGAAUUCCUGGUGUAGCGGUGGAAUGCGCAGAUAUCAGGAGGAACACCUAUAGCGAAGGCAGCUUGCUGGGACGUUACUGACGCUAAGGCGCGAAAGCGUGGGGAGCGAACAGG
Molecule: ribosomal RNA, 253 nt
Filed under: uncultured bacterium
Lineage: Bacteria
Description: partial 16S ribosomal RNA
Rfam family: Bacterial small subunit ribosomal RNA
Source: RNAcentral